RNAcentral lists this ribosomal RNA (1245 nucleotides) under Triticum aestivum (bread wheat). Its description in RNAcentral is "partial small subunit ribosomal RNA". The record is from RNAcentral. Lineage: Eukaryota; Viridiplantae; Streptophyta; Magnoliopsida; Poales; Poaceae.
AUGUCCCGUUCCACUCGCUCGAAGUGGUGCUCGGCCGCUUACCUCGACCCCUGCCCGUGGUUUCGCUCAUCGAAAUCUGCUUCCCCAACGAGCGGCUGCCAUGGCCGAUCCCCGAGGAGCACCUGGUCAACGCUGCCAGCGUCAACUCGUUGCUCCGCGCAGCCGCGCGGCUCGAGCCGGAGGAGUUCGAGUUUGAGCUCCCCACGAACUUACUCGAUGGUCCGCUCAUCGUCGACCUGCCUUGCUUCCACCGCGCCACCCCCAUCCUGCUGGACCCUUCACCCCGUCCGCGUGCCAACCGGCGUCGAGUUCCCCGCACUCGAGGAGCUGCACCUGUGGGCAUGCACCGUCGACAUUGACGCCUUGCUCUCCUGCUCCCCGCGCUUGCGCACGCUCUGCCUAAGUGACGUUUAUUCCGACAACGACAACCUCGCUGUGAGCGCCAUGCUUGCGGUCAGCUCGGCGUCGCUGCAGGAGCUUGUCCUGCACCAAACCGACUGGAUGGAUGGUGUCAACAUCGUUGCCCCCGUGCUUAGGCAAUUGACCGUGUCUUUUUCGGCAAUGGAGAAGGUCAGCAUCUCCGUCUUGGCACCAAUGGUGGAGAUGGUCUCGUGGAGAUGCUGCUACUUCGAGGUGUCUAUCGUGUUCGGUGUUUGGCGACUCGAGCAGGUGACUCUGCAGACGGCUCAGACACCAGGACAGCUGCCUUCGCUGCAGAUUCAUGCCAGCGCCAAUUCUAUUUUUGUCUGUGAAGAGGAGACAUUUAUGCACGAGAUAGAAAAGCAUAUGAUUGCCGAGUUUUCCGUUUUGGAGCUACAUCUUGAAACAAAUGGACAUGUGUUUGGAGCGCUCGCGUUUCAUGUCCUAGGGAUGAAUAGAAUUUGUAGUGCUAUGCAGAAGCUUAAGGUCAUCCUACAGAGGUCAUCGGUGAAAGAAGGAUGCUCACCUCAUUGUCCAUGUGAGUCCAUGGGGUGGAGAUCCCAAACUAUCUCCUUGACUGGAACCGAAGAAGUGGAGAUCAGUGGCUGUGGAGGAGACGGUCAUGAGAUUGAUUUCUUGAAACUGAUACUCAAAUGUGCGCCAAUGCUCAAAAAAAUGAUUGUGAAGCUGUCAGAUGGGGCCUCAUCAAGUGAUGAUGGAUGCACAAACAUAUACAACAUUUUCAAGGCUUAUUCUUCUGUGGAACUCUAUGUUUAUCUUAGCUCUGGGUUAAUGCUCGGCAGCCAAGACUCACCCUCAGCAUGA